This is a long non-coding RNA of Cydia pomonella (codling moth), 769 nucleotides long. RefSeq lists it as uncharacterized. Lineage: Eukaryota; Metazoa; Arthropoda; Insecta; Lepidoptera; Tortricidae. The record is from RefSeq and is a predicted model, not a curated record. The transcript is spliced from 3 exons.
AACUGAAAGAAAAAUGGGUUGUUGGAAAUUGGAAUCUACUCAGCUACAAUAAGUUAUUUAAAUGUGCAACUACGAAGUGGUAAGUUCUCCUAGUUGUACGUAGUUGAGGAGUUGGUUGAAAGUGGUCGUCGUCGGCGACGGCGCGGCGGCGACGGCGGCGGCACCGGCGGCGGCGGAAGGCGUGCCCCGGCGAGCCAAUGGCGCGUCCCACCCCCUCGCCCCGCUAGGCGCCCGCAACACCCAGCUUGUCAGUAGGUUUGUGUCCUUUUGGCUGACCGCAUGACUCCGUAUCUCGCUUCGUCGCUGUACUCGUUGUAACAUACAGCACGCGCUUAAGAACGCUUCCGCCAGACGCUUCAAACUAACGCCGGAGUUUGUGAACUGUUGAAAGAACGUUUAAAGAAACUUGUAGAGGAGUUGGCAAGUUUGGGUGCUCGGGUGGCAGCACGACGAGCAUAAGGUUACGUUGCCGUGCUGUAGCCAGGAGAUAAUUUGCGAAAAGAUUUUGGCCCGGAGUCAUAUCAUUAUAUAGGAGCUAACUUAAAAGUAAGUGCUAUACAUAAACAAUGCAGGCUCUCACACUUGGGCAAUUUGGGCAACAGGGUUCUAAAUCGGUCUCCAGUACGACCAAUGUUUUUGUAUCUUAGUCUGCCUGAAAAAUUAUUUCGUAUUUUAAUAUCUUGCCGUGUCUGCGUGUCAUAUUUUUCAUGAUUACUCUCUUGGCCAAAAUACCAAGAUCUUUUCCGCUUAUCUUUCGUAACUUUUGCUC